This 761-nucleotide ribosomal RNA is filed under the name Prevotella nigrescens. Its description in RNAcentral is "bacterial SSU rRNA". It matches the Rfam family "Bacterial small subunit ribosomal RNA", at positions 28 to 776 of the family's 1533-position model. The record is from RNAcentral. Lineage: Bacteria; Pseudomonadati; Bacteroidota; Bacteroidia; Bacteroidales; Prevotellaceae.
GAUGAACGCUGGCUACAGGCUUAACACAUGCAAGUCGUGGGGAAACGGCAUUAUGUGCUUGCACAUUCUGGACGUCGACCGGCGCACGGGUGAGUAUCGCGUAUCCAACCUGCCCCUUACUUGGGGAUACCCCGUUGAAAGACGGCCUAAUACCCGAUGUGUUUCAUUGACGGCAUCCGAUAUGAAACAAAGGUUUUCCGGUAAGGGAUGGGGAUGCGUCUGAUUAGCUAGUUGGCGGGGCAACGGCCCACCAAGGCGACGAUCAGUAGGGGUUCUGAGAGGAAGGUCCCCCACAUUGGAACUGAGACACGGUCCAAACUCCUACGGGAGGCAGCAGUGAGGAAUAUUGGUCAAUGCACGCAAGUCUGAACCAGCCAAGUAGCGUGCAGGAUGACGGCCCUAUGGGUUGUAAACUGCUUUUAUGUGGGAAUAAAGUGGCGCACGUGUGCGCCAUUGCAUGUACCUCAUGAAUAAGGACCGGCUAAUUCCGUGCCAGCAGCCGCGGUAAUACGGAAGGUCCGGGCGUUAUCCGGAUUUAUUGGGUUUAAAGGGAGUGUAGGCGGUCUGUUAAGCGUGUUGUGAAAUUUAGGUGCUCAACAUUUAACUUGCAGCGCGAACUGUCAGACUUGAGUACACGCAGCGCAGGCGGAAUUCAUGGUGUAGCGGUGAAAUGCUUAGAUAUCAUGAGGAACUCCGAUCGCGAAGGCAGCCUGCGGGAGUGUUACUGACGCUUAAGCUCGAAAGUGCGGGUAUCGAACAGG